Long non-coding RNA from Gadus morhua (Atlantic cod), 429 nucleotides. RefSeq lists it as uncharacterized. The transcript is spliced from 3 exons. Lineage: Eukaryota; Metazoa; Chordata; Actinopteri; Gadiformes; Gadidae. The record is from RefSeq and is a predicted model, not a curated record.
GUAGUGCACUCCUUUACACAGGUGCUGUGUUAACAGACGGACAGAAAACUGUCUUCAGCAUUCUAACCCCAUUUCAAAAGGUGUACAUCGCACGCACGCAUUCACACACACACACACGCACGCAUAUGCAACCGAGUGUAAACAAGUUUGGUUCCUCCUUCUCUUUCCUCUUUCCACAGUAAAACAUUGAUACCUAAAGCCAGUCACGGAACUUUUUAAAGAGCUGUGGACAAAAACAAGUUGUCUUUUCUCAGACAGUGAAACCGACCUCAACAGCAAGAAAGCCUCAAAUGAGCAGGGCGGUGGCAUUACCUUGAGGGCCUUGGAGGCCACGGUGAUGCCGGUCUGCAUCAUGCCGUCGGCGACGCCCAGCAGGUCGGUGUUCUGGAGGAAGGGAGUAACCAGUGUCACGUACUUGGCCCCGGACCA